RNAcentral lists this ribosomal RNA (468 nucleotides) under uncultured bacterium. Its description in RNAcentral is "partial 16S ribosomal RNA". It matches the Rfam family "Bacterial small subunit ribosomal RNA", at positions 28 to 507 of the family's 1533-position model. The record is from RNAcentral.
GACGAACGCUGGCGGCGUGCUUAACACAUGCAAGUCGAACGGAAAGGCCCUGCUUUUGUGGGGUGCUCGAGUGGCGAACGGGUGAGUAACACGUGAGUAACCUGCCCUUGACUUUGGGAUAACUUCAGGAAACUGGGGCUAAUACCGGAUAGGAGCUCCUGCUGCAUGGUGGGGGUUGGAAAGUUUCGGCGGUUGGGGAUGGACUCGCGGCUUAUCAGCUUGUUGGUGGGGUAGUGGCUUACCAAGGCUUUGACGGGUAGCCGGCCUGAGAGGGUGACCGGCCACAUUGGGACUGAGAUACGGCCCAGACUCCUACGGGAGGCAGCAGGGGGGAAUAUUGCACAAUGGGCGGAAGCCUGAUGCAGAAACGCAGCGUGCGGGAUGACGGCCUUCGGGUUGUAAACCGCUUUCGCCUGUGACGAAGCGUGAGUGACGGUAAUGGGUAAAGAAGCACCGGCUAACUACGUG